This 482-nucleotide ribosomal RNA is filed under the name uncultured bacterium. RNAcentral describes it as "partial 16S ribosomal RNA". It matches the Rfam family "Bacterial small subunit ribosomal RNA", at positions 30 to 507 of the family's 1533-position model. The record is from RNAcentral.
AUUGAACGCUCGCGGCAUGCCUUACACAUGCAAGUCGAACGGUAACAGGUCUUCGGAUGCUGACGAGUGGCGAACGGGUGAGUAAUACAUCGGAACGUGCCCGAUCGUGGGGGAUAACGAGGCGAAAGCUUUGCUAAUACCGCAUACGAUCUACGGAUGAAAGCGGGGGAUCUUCGGACCUCGCGCGGACGGAGCGGCCGAUGGCAGAUUAGGUAGUUGGUGGGAUAAAAGCUUACCAAGCCGACGAUCUGUAGCUGGUCUGAGAGGAUGAUCAGCCACACUGGGACUGAGACACGGCCCAGACUCCUACGGGAGGCAGCAGUGGGGAAUUUUGGACAAUGGGCGAAAGCCUGAUCCAGCCAUGCCGCGUGCAGGAUGAAGGCCUUUGGGUUGUAAACUGCUUUUGUACGGAACGAAAAGCCUCUUUCUAAUAAAGAGGGGUCAUGACGGUACCGUAAGAAUAAGCACCGGCUAACUACGUG